AUAGAUAGGGGCCCUGAGAGGGGGAUCCCCCACACUGGUACUGAGACACGGACCAGACUCCUACGGGAGGCAGCAGUGAGGAAUAUUGGACAAUGGAGGCAACUCUGAUCCAGCCAUGCCGCGUGCAGGAAGACUGCCCUAUGGGUUGUAAACUGCUUUUAUAUAGGAAGAAACCUACUUACGUGUAAGUAGCUGACGGUACUAUAAGAAUAAGGAUCGGCUAACUCCGUGCCAGCAGCCGCGGUAAUACGGAGGAUCCAAGCGUUAUCCGGAAUCAUUGGGUUUAAAGGGUCCGUAGGUGGAUAAUUAAGUCAGAGGUGAAAUCUUGCAGCUCAACUGUAAAAUUGCCUUUGAUACUGGUUAUCUUGAGUUAUUAUGAAGUAGUUAGAAUAUGUAGUGUAGCGGUGAAAUGCAUAGAUAUUACAUAGAAUACCAAUUGCGAAGGCAGAUUACUAAUAAUCAACUGACACUGAUGGACGAAAGCGUGGGUAGCGAACAGGAUUAGAUACCCUGGUAGUCCACGCCGUAAACGAUGGUUACUAGCUGUUUGGACCUGCGUCUGAGUGGCUAAGCGAAAGUGAUAAGUAACCCACCUGGGGAGUACGUUCGCAAGAAUGAAACUCAAAGGAAUUGACGGGGGCCCGCACAAGCGGUGGAGCAUGUGGUUUAAUUCGAUGAUACGCGAGGAACCUUACCAGGGCUUAAAUGUAGUGGGACAGAUCUAGAGAUAGAUUUUUCUUCGGACUCAUUACAAGGUGCUGCAUGGUUGUCGUCAGCUCGUGCCGUGAGGUGUCAGGUUAAGUCCUAUAACGAGCGCAACCCCUGUUGUUAGUGCCAGC
This 839-nucleotide ribosomal RNA is filed under the name marine metagenome. Its description in RNAcentral is "bacterial SSU rRNA". It matches the Rfam family "Bacterial small subunit ribosomal RNA", at positions 279 to 1122 of the family's 1533-position model. The record is from RNAcentral.